GAUGAACGCUAGCGACAGGCUUAACACAUGCAAGUCGAGGGGCAGCACAGGUAGCAAUACCGGGUGGCGACCGGCGCACGGGUGAGUAACGCGUAUGCAACUUACCUAUCAGAGGGGGAUAACCCGGCGAAAGUCGGACUAAUACCGCAUGAAGCAGGGGUCCCGCAUGGGGAUAUUUGCUAAAGAUUCAUCGCUGAUAGAUAGGCAUGCGUUCCAUUAGGCAGUUGGCGGGGUAACGGCCCACCAAACCGACGAUGGAUAGGGGUUCUGAGAGGAAGGUCCCCCACAUUGGUACUGAGACACGGACCAAACUCCUACGGGAGGCAGCAGUGAGGAAUAUUGGUCAAUGGCCGAGAGGCUGAACCAGCCAAGUCGCGUGAGGGAUGUAGGUUCUAUGGAUCGUAAACCUCUUUUAUAAGGGAAUAAAGUGCGGGACGUGUCCCGUUUUGUAUGUACCUUAUGAAUAAGGAUCGGCUAACUCCGUG
RNAcentral lists this ribosomal RNA (485 nucleotides) under uncultured bacterium. RNAcentral's name for it is "partial 16S ribosomal RNA". It matches the Rfam family "Bacterial small subunit ribosomal RNA", at positions 28 to 507 of the family's 1533-position model. The record is from RNAcentral.